RNAcentral lists this ribosomal RNA (253 nucleotides) under uncultured bacterium. RNAcentral's name for it is "partial 16S ribosomal RNA". It matches the Rfam family "Bacterial small subunit ribosomal RNA", at positions 524 to 776 of the family's 1533-position model. The record is from RNAcentral.
UACGGAGGGUGCAAGCGUUAUCCGGAUUUAUUGGGUUUAAAGGGUGCGUAGGCGGCCCUUUAAGUCAGUGGUGAAAUACUGCAGCUCAACUGUAGCAUUGCCAUUGAUACUGAAGAGCUUGAGUACAGAUGAGGUAGGCGGAAUUUAUGGUGUAGCGGUGAAAUGCAUAGAUACCAUAAAGAACACCGAUUGCGAAGGCAGCUUACUAAGCUGUAACUGACGCUGAGGCACGAAAGCGUGGGGAGCGAACAGG